GACAGAGGGUGCAAACGUUGCUCGGAAUCACUGGGCGUAAAGGGCGUGCAGGCGGACAUGCAAGUCAGGCGUGAAAUCCCUGGGCUCAACCCAGGAAUUGCACUUGAAACUGCAUGUCUUGAGUGUCGUAGAGGAAAGCGGAAUUCCUGGUGUAGAGGUGAAAUUCGUAGAUAUCAGGAGGAACACCGGUGGCGAAGGCGGCUUUCUGGACGACAACUGACGCUGAGACGCGAAAGCGUGGGGAGCAAACAGG
Molecule: unclassified non-coding RNA, 253 nt
Filed under: uncultured Myxococcales bacterium
Lineage: Bacteria; Pseudomonadati; Myxococcota; Myxococcia; Myxococcales
Description: contains 16S-23S intergenic spacer region
Rfam family: Bacterial small subunit ribosomal RNA
Source: RNAcentral